Long non-coding RNA from Asparagus officinalis (garden asparagus), 1121 nucleotides. RefSeq lists it as uncharacterized. The record is from RefSeq and is a predicted model, not a curated record. The transcript is spliced from 7 exons. NCBI's taxonomy places the organism in Eukaryota, Viridiplantae, Streptophyta, Magnoliopsida, Asparagales, Asparagaceae.
CCGCCGCAAAUCCGCCAUCGAAUGGUUGCUAUUGUGGUGGCUGAUUUUUCUUAACAUCUUGGGACAAACUUCGUAGAGAAUUUGAAAGCAUCUCAGUAUAUUAGGUGUUCAAAAACUGAUUUUGGAUGCUAUAAUGUCACGGAGCCGCCUAUAGAUGCGUCUAGAGAUCCAUUGUAUAAAACUAAAAGGUUUUCUUAACAACACAUUACAGAAAUAGACGAGCAAAUGAUUCAGAGUUUGUGCUUGAUUUUGAAGAAAUAUAUGUUAUUGACUCGAAAUCUAAAUCCAUAACCAGGGCUAAAGUUUUGCAAUAUUUGUGAGGAGAAAUGUUGUGGAAACAGAAGGCAAGACUCUACAGGAAAUUGAAAUCUCACUUCUCCAACCUGAGUAAAGGGGAUUGCCUUCAGUCUAGAUGGACAGUAGACAACAUUGGUGAUUCUCUUGGGGAGACUCUCAUGGGGUCUCCUAAUUAUUUCAAAAGCAAUUAGAGGUAGCUAUAGCCAAAGGGAAAAAAACGAUUGAGUAAUUCCAAGGCCGAUAACUCUCAUAUUGAAUUGGACUACCAGGAUAAAGAAGAUUAUAUAUGAUUCUCCAAGCAUUGGAUCACAUUUAAGCUGAACAUUGUUUGACGUAAAGUAUGGCGAUGCAUCUAUAAUUAACUUCGAACAAAAUCACUAUUGAUUGUACAUUUGUUUGUUUACAAAUGAUCACACAGGGUAUAAGUACUGCUGAAUGCUAUUAUCCCUUUGCACAAUGUCAAAUUUGCUUUCACAAAGAAAUAAUAAAAAAACUGAUGGAAAGGCUACCACACAUGAAAGAGCUUAUGGAUAUGUAUUGUGGCCCUGAUAGAGUGACUACAAAGCAACAAAUGCAGGAGUUAGGCAGAGUCGCAAAAACUCUACCAGAGAAUAUAUCUUCAUCUGUGAAGAUGUUCACUGAUCGUGCCGUUCUUUCACUUCAAGUUUUCUUUUUUUCAACUUAGUUUAGUUUCCUGUAAAUCUUAUAAUGUGUCAUUCUCUGAAAUGGAAAACACUGAAUAUGACAAACUGGAAUAUUUAAACAGGCUUUGAGUGUUGACUUGGAAAUGGAAAUGAAUGUAAUUAUUUUGCAAUGGGAGCAAA